This 1962-nucleotide ribosomal RNA is filed under the name Triticum aestivum (bread wheat). Its description in RNAcentral is "partial small subunit ribosomal RNA". Lineage: Eukaryota; Viridiplantae; Streptophyta; Magnoliopsida; Poales; Poaceae. The record is from RNAcentral.
AUGGAGCCGGCGACCAAGCAGGACCUGAAGGAUCUCCUGAAGGAGUUCCGAGAGAGCAUGAAGGAGAGCAUCAGGGAGGCUGUCGCGGUCGGGUUCGGUAACACGAAGCCGGCAUUCGAGCAGGCGACCAUCUCGACCUCUUCUCAGUUCCUCGCCAUGGACGCCUCCGAUGACAAGGAUCUGGCACCUGCGUGCUCCAGCCCUGAACAGGGCACGUACGCCCUCGACUUCGCCCCAACGACCACCAUCGAUGCUCUUCCCGAGCUCGACAUUGACGCCACGGGCGUUGCUGCACCAACGCCCACAACCUGCUCGACGGAUGGCCUCAUCCACAGCACCGAUGGAGACGAUAGGAUGGAGGCGUCGAAGGCUGCUUGGGAUUCGUCUACGCCCUUCACCGCACGUCCAGGGGACUCACCAACACCAAUGAGUGAGCCAUCUCUCGGCCUUGCACUCGGUGCGCUGGCGCAGACCAAGUGUUUGGCAGAAUGCUCAGGCCAAGUUGAUGCGUCUGUCACGGCCAGUGUUAUCUUAGCGACUGCUGGCUGCAUGCCCACUACCUGUUCGACCGAGUGGGUCACCCAUGCUGACAGUCGCAUCAUCGACUCAUCGUCAACAACCCUACCCAUUUGGCUCGCAGCUGCAGCGGUGCAUCGUUCGUGGGUGCAGACAGUGCCACCGCACCCACCGGACCUGAGGUUAUUUUUUUGGUGGGACCAUGGGUGUCUAAUGAGUGGCCGUGGUGAUUUGGAAAGAGUGAUUCAUCCUAGCCCAAAUGAAAGUUUAUGCACAAGGCAAUGUCAAGAGGUAAAACUCUCGUGUCUGUUUCAUGGGAUGUCUAUUUCUUGGCAAUGGUUGGUACACUGGCUAGUCUAUGGAGUUGAUUUACAUCAAAUUCCGUGUCCAUCAUUUUCAAAUGGUGAGCCACCAGAUGUGGAUUGUUCCAGUGUUGCCAAUUGGGACCCCCAUGUGCCUAUUUCUGUUGAUGACAAGUUCCUGAAGCAUCUGUUUCUAAGUGUUCAAGUGCAUGACAGUGGAAUGGUUGUAGUUCCCUCUCUGACCUUGAUACGACUCCUUACUGUACUUGAGGCACCAUUCACAAUCCAUGGAGGGUUUCUUCUCAUAGAUGGCCUCUGGGGCUGGUCACUACAUCUGUUCGGACGCGUAAAGAAGGUAUCCGAUGAUAAGCGAGAUGCCCAAUGUAGCUUGGUCUAUCUUAAGUUACAGCAACAUGGAUUGUUUGUUGUACAUCUUACUGAUGGAAAUUCUCUCUGUUCAUGCCACUAUACUGAUGCACUUGCUUUUGAGUGGGGCUACAACCAUAUUUCUUACAGACAACUUCUAGAGAUCUGUUGCAAGCGACUGAAGUGUAAAUGGAGAAUACAAUCUGGGCUAGUACAGACCACAUUCAGCCGAAUUGGUGCAGUAACCAGUGGAACAAUGGGACUGUUGGUUGUGCAAUUACCAGAGUGUAUUGAUGACCAACUAGCAGAAUUGCUGAAGGAAAAUUUUAAUGAGAUGCCAAAGUGCAGUGUUACUCCUAUAUCUUGUGAGAGUGGAUGUAAGUUGCAUAACACAUCAUUCUUUAUCUGGCGGACAAGUGCAGUCUGCCUUCUUCUCUGUUGCUAUGAUCAAUUUCAAUGGAAGCUGGCUGGGUUAUGCUAUCACCUGUCUAACUGCUGUCCAGUGACACUACUUGGGCUGCCGGUGUCAGCAAACUGUUUGACUCGGAGGUAUGCAGGUCACAAGAACCAGGUCUACCACAUGAAGUUGUCUCAUUCUAAUCAUUGUCAAGAGGGAAUAAACUUGCAAGUGGAGCAGAUAUGGUGUGCAAUUACGAGUAAUACUAUUGAUGCUUAUCCUUGUGGUGGUGAAGACCAUGCACGCGAAUCAUUGUUCAACCUGGAGCUUGCUGUACAUGCGAAGGAGUUCGAUGUGCAUGGUGGAGCUCUUACGGUGUAA